UGGGGAAUUUUCCGCAAUGGGCGAAAGCCUGACGGAGCAAUACCGCGUGAGGGAAGACGGCCUAUGGGUUGUAAACCUCUUUUUUCAGGGAGGAAUAACUGACGUGUACCUGAAGAAUAAGCAUCGGCUAACUCCGUGCCAGCAGCCGCGGUAAGACAGAGGAUGCAAGUGUUAUCCGGAAUCACUGGGCGUGAAGCGUCUGUAGGUUGUUGAACAAGUCAACUGUUAAAUCUUGGGGCUCAACUUCAAAAUCGCAGUCGAAACUGUUUGACUAGAGUAUAGUAGGGGUAAAGGGAAUUUCCAGUGGAGCGGUGAAAUGCGUAGAUAUUGGAAAGAACACCGAUGACGAAGGCACUUUACUGGGCUAUUACUGACACUCAGAGACGAAAGCUAGGGUAGCAAAUGGGAUUAGAUACCCCAGUAGUCCUAGCCGUAAACAAUGGAUACUAGAUGUUGAACAGAUCGACCUGUGCAGUAUCAAAGCUAACGCGUUAAGUAUCCCGCCUGGGAAGUAUGCUCGCAAGAGUG
This 528-nucleotide ribosomal RNA is filed under the name uncultured bacterium. Its description in RNAcentral is "bacterial SSU rRNA". It matches the Rfam family "Bacterial small subunit ribosomal RNA", at positions 355 to 896 of the family's 1533-position model. The record is from RNAcentral.